CCUUUGAGUCAGUUAGGAUAUGAGGAAUGUGGUACGGUGAGUUAGGUAACAAAAGAGAAAGAAAGACUGAUUUAUAUAAAGCCUUUGAGUCAGUUAGGAUAUGAGGAAUGUGGUACGGUGAGUUAGACAGGUAACAAAAGAGAAAGAAAGACUGAUUUAUAUAAAGCCUUUGAGUCAGUUAGGAUAUGAGGAAUGUGGUACGGUGAAUUAGACAGGUAACAAAAGAGAAAGAAAGACUGAUUUAUAUAAAGCCUUUGAGUCAGUUAGGAUAUGAGGAAUGUGGUACGGUGAAUUAGACAGGUAACAAAAGAGAAAGAAAGACUGAUUUAUAUAAAGCCUUUGAGUCAGUUAGGAUAUGAGGAAUGUGGUACGGUGAGUUAGACAGGUAACAAAAGAGAAAGAAAGACUGAUUUAUAUAAAGCCUUUGAGUCAGUUAGGAUAUGAGGAAUGUGGUACGGUGAGUUUGGUAACAAAAGAGAAAGAAAGACUGAUUUAUAUAAAGCCUUUGAGUCAGUUAGGAUAUGAGGAAUGUGGUACGGUGAAUUAGACAGGUAACAAAAGAGAAAGAAAGACUGAUUUAUAUAAAGCCUUUGAGUCAGUUAGGAUAUGAGGAAUGUGGUACGGUGAAUUAGACAGGUAACAAAAGAGAAAGAAAGACUGAUUUAUAUAAAGCCUUUGAGUCAGUUAGGAUAUGAGGAAUGUGGUACGGUGAGUUAGACAGGUAACAAAAGAGAAGGAAAGACUGAUUUAUAUACAGCCUUUGAGUCAGUUAGGAUAUGAGGAAUGUGGUACGGUGAAUUAGACAGGUAACAAAAGAGAAAGAAAGACUGAUUUAUAUAAAGCCUUUGAGUCAGUUAGGAUAUGAGCAAUGUGGUACGGUGAAAUAGACAGGUAACAAAAGAGAAAGAAAGACUGAUUCAUAUAAAGCCUUUGAGUCAGGUAGGAUAUGAGGAAUGUGGUACGGUGAGUUAGACAGGUAACAAAAGAGAAAGAAAGACUGAUUUAUAUAAAGCCUUUGAGUCAGUUAGGAUAUGAGGAAUGUGGUACGGUGAGUUAGACAGGUAACAAAAGAGAAAGAAAGACUGAUUUAUAUAAAGCCUUUGAGUCAGUUAGGAUAUGAGGAAUGUGGUACGGUGAAUUAGACAGUUAACAAAAGAGAAAAAAAGACUGAUUUAUAUAAAGCCUUUGAGUCAGUUAGGAUAUGAGGAAUGUGGUACGGUGAAUUAGACAGGUAACAAAAGAGAAAGAAAGACUGAUUUAUAUAAAGCCUUUGAGUCAGUUAGGAUAUGAGGAAUGUGGUACGGUGAGUUAGGUAACAAAAGAGAAAGAAAGACUGAUUUAUAUAAAGCCUUUGAGUCAGUUAGGAUAUGAGGAAUGUGGUACGGUGAGUUAGACAGGUAACAAAAGAGAAAGAAAGACUGAUUUAUAUACAGCCUUUGAGUCAGUUAGGAUAUGAGGAAUGUGGUACGGUGAGUUAGACAGGUAACAAAAGAGAAAGAAAGACUGAUUUAUAAAAAGCCUUUGAGUCAGUUAGGAUAUGAGGAAUGUGGUACGGUGAAUUAGACAGGUAACAAAAGAGAAAGAAAGACUGAUUUAUAUAAAGCCUUUGAGUCAGUUAGGAUAUGAGGAAUGUGGUACGGUGAAUUAGACAGGUAACAAAAGAGAAAGAAAGACUGAUUUAUAUAAAGCCUUUGAGUCAGUUAGGAUAUGAGGAAUGUGGUACGGUGACUUAGGUAACAAAAGAGAAAGAAAGACUGAUUUAUAUAAAGCCUUUGAGUCAGUUAGGAUAUGAGGAAUGUGGUACGGUGAAUUAGACAGGUAACAAAAGAGAAAGAAAGACUGAUUUAUAUAAAGCCUUUGAGUCAGUUAGGAUAUGAGGAAUGUGGUACGGUGAAUUAGACAGGUAACAAAAGAGAAAGAAAGACUGAUUUAUAUAAAGCCUUUGAGUCAGUUAGGAUAUGAGGAAUGUGGUACGGUGAAUUAGACAGGUAACAAAAGAGAAAGAAAGACUGAUUUAUAUAAAGCCUUUGAGUCAGUUAGGAUAUGAGGAAUGUGGUACGGUGAAUUAGACAGGUAACAAAAGAGAAAGAAAGACUGAUUUAUAUAAAGCCUUUGAGUCAGUUAGGAUAUGAGGAAUGUGGUACGGUGAGUUAGGUAAAAAAAGAGAAAGAAAGACUGAUUUAUAUAAAGCCUUUGAGUCAGUUAGGAUAUGAGGAAUGUGGUACGGUGAGUUAGACAGGUAACAAAAGAGAAAGAAAGACUGAUUUAUAUAAAGCCUUUGAGUCAGUUAGGAUAUGAGGAAUGUGGUACGGUGAGUUAGACAGGUAACAAAAGAGAAAGAAAGACUGAUUUAUAUAAAGCCUUUGAGUCAGUUAGGAUAUGAGGAAUGUGGUACGGUGAGUUAGACAGGUAACAAAAGAGAAAGAAAGACUGAUUUAUAUAAAGCCUUUGAGUCAGUUAGGAUAUGAGGAAUGUGGUACGGUG
Long non-coding RNA from Protopterus annectens (West African lungfish), 2484 nucleotides. RefSeq lists it as uncharacterized. NCBI's taxonomy places the organism in Eukaryota, Metazoa, Chordata, Ceratodontiformes, Protopteridae. The record is from RefSeq and is a predicted model, not a curated record. The transcript is spliced from 3 exons.